GCUGGGGGUUUGGCGGCUCCUGUAAUCCGGCUACUCGGAGGCUAGUUAUGUAGGAGGGUCUUGAGAUCACGGAUUUAACUGUUGAUGUUGGAUUCACGUUGACUGGGCGUCCGCACUAAGCUCGCCAUCAAUAUGGGCACCCUUGAGGAAUCUUGGGUGGCCAGGUUGGCUAAGGAGUGGCGAACCGGGCCAGAGGGGAAACCCAGCAGCCAAAAGUCUCCGUGGCGGGCAGUAGUGGGAUCGCGCCCGGGAGUGGACCGCAUCAGCAGCUUGGUCGAUAUGACUCGACACAUAACUUU
Molecule: non-coding RNA, 299 nt
Organism: Dufourea novaeangliae
Lineage: Eukaryota; Metazoa; Arthropoda; Insecta; Hymenoptera; Halictidae
Source: Rfam